Phrynosoma platyrhinos (Desert horned lizard) is the source of this 71-nucleotide non-coding RNA. NCBI's taxonomy places the organism in Eukaryota, Metazoa, Chordata, Lepidosauria, Squamata, Phrynosomatidae. The record is from the annotation of a GenBank genome assembly.
GCCAACGUGGCAUAGUGGUUUGAGUGUUGGACUAUGACUUUGGAGACCAGGGUUUGAAUCCCUGCGUGGCU